UACGGGAGGCAGCAGUGGGGAAUAUUGCACAAUGGGCGCAAGCCUGAUGCAGCGACGCCGCGUGAGGGAUGACGGCCUUCGGGUUGUAAACCUCUUUCAGUAGGGAAGAAGCGUAAGUGACGGUACCUGCAGAAGAAGCGCCGGCUAACUACGUGCCAGCAGCCGCGGUAAUACGUAGGGCGCAAGCGUUAUCCGGAAUUAUUGGGCGUAAAGAGCUCGUAGGCGGUUUGUCGCGUCUGCCGUGAAAGUCCGGGGCUCAACUCCGGAUCUGCGGUGGGUACGGGCAGACUAGAGUGAU
RNAcentral lists this ribosomal RNA (298 nucleotides) under uncultured bacterium. RNAcentral's name for it is "partial 16S ribosomal RNA". It matches the Rfam family "Bacterial small subunit ribosomal RNA", at positions 340 to 650 of the family's 1533-position model. The record is from RNAcentral.